CCCUCCUCCCACCCCAUCCCACGCACGCACCCCGCAGGAAACACCGUUCCUCUCGAUCCCCACCCGUCGCCGCCGCCCUCAGCUCUCGAUCCCCUCGAGUAAGCGGCGCCGCCGUCGGCUCUCCAUCCCCUCGAUUAAAUGGUGCCGUCGUCAUCUCUCGAUCCCCUCGAGAUCGCUGCGCCGCCAUCGUCUCUCGAUCCCCUCGAGACCCCCAGGUCUCACACCACCACCGCCGGUGCCUCCUCCUCUGGCGACGCGGCGAACGAGAGCAGGGCCAUAGCAGGGGCGGCCGCCUCGUGCCCCCGAUGUCCAGGGCCCCCUCCGAUAUGCUGCAGGCCCAUGGCCCAAGCCCCAAGGAAACCAAGGACUCCGACGCAAGUAGUCGGUAGCGGCGAGUAUGUCUAAGAUCGUCGUGUUUUCUUCCCCAUCGAGUUCGCCUGUUGACUGGUUCGCGGAGGUUUCAGCAGACCCGUUUUUGCCCUGGAUGUGAGUCGUGUACCGGCGACUCUGGCGGUCCGACCUCAUGCACGUCGUCCUCACCAUCAACCCCAAGUCCCUCCUCCAGUGGAUCAUUGAACUCCGCAACCAAUUUCUUCGACGCUGUCAUGCAGAGGGGCAACUCUGAAUUAUAUACGAGGAUCCUGGGAGUCAAGGGCUUCAAGGUCGAGUCAUCUUCAGCGGGGGAGAAGAGCGAGGACAUGCGCUGGAGGAGGAACAACAUGGGUGCGUCUUUUUCCUCGUGUGCAGCAGCAGCCUCACUAAGGGAUCCAAGUGUGAGCACCGGCACUGCGAGGGCGCCCAGUUCAACCCCAGGAACUGCUGGUACUGGUUGCACGUUAGCUGCAUCAACCCAAGCCGCACCUUUCACCAACAUGUGUGUGACCCUCGAGUUGAUUUGUGUGGGUGCUUCUGUAAUCGCAAAAAUAAGAAAUGCGUGUGCUUCUAUGCUUGGUUGCAUGCCUAGGACGCUUUCGUCCGGUGGUUAGUCAUGGGUGUCAUUAUUACGCUUGUGCCAGCCUAACUUGGGCUGCAAUGUAAUUUGUUCCCUAAUGAUGAUGUAUUAUUUUCUAUGGAGAAUAGGCUCUAUUGCGAUCUCCAUCCGAGAAUUAGCUCUCCAUCCAAGAAUUAGCUUCCAACUCUAAAAAGGUACUGCUGCUGAACCAGGAAAACCAUCUAUGAGUUUCUCAUUUGUUCAAUUAUUUUCUUCUUCCGUUCUUGUUUGUUAUUCAAUGAUACUAGCUAGCAUGGUGCUGGCGAACGCCUGCAAUGGCACGCAGUGGAAGGUAAAAACCAAGGCAUGUCCCCUCGGCCCCUCCUUACUUUUAGUUGUCAUAUUGAUCUGACAUGUUGCUGAAGCGUUUGCUUCAGACCUUAGACCAUGGGCACCUUUUGAUUUCACUGAAUAUUCUGCUAUAUAUAAGGACUAAGCUAGCAUCUUGAAUUGACAUGUUCAGUACAAGGGUACAACUAGAAAUCCUAAUAAUUUGUAUGUCCACACGCUCUUUACAAAUGCCAUCUGUACAUUACAUGUGUGUGUACUGUUCUCUCACUACUAAGGUGUUUUAUGAGUUGAAGUGUUGUUCUCAUUGUUGUAAUGUUGAAAUAGACAGAACUCUGUUCUUCAUGAUCCAUUCGGGGUAAGGGUGGACAAUGAGCUACUUUGUUAACUGACGACGAACUGAAUCUGGUUAAAAGGUAAAUAAGCUUUUGAACUUUAUACAAAAAAAGUUUGCACCGAGCAGUUGGAUCCACUAACUUGCCUUAAAGCCAUGUUCAGAAACACACAUUUCAUUUUGCCAUCUUCAGAAACAUGCAACAGGCUCAAAAAAUAAGGUUGCAGCUCUUAUUAGUGUUAAAUGUUAGCAACUAUCUCGCACACGAGCGUGGUGUAGGUCGCAGCCAUGUGAGAUGCGAGCAGCAGUCGGCAGCCUGGGGCGGCAGGCGGGGCCACCGCGUGAUGACGGGUUCAACGGAUUCAUACCCAUACCGAUGUAUGUUGAGCUUGCCCUUGUUGUGUUUUUGAUAAUGAUGGUUGGGCUUUUCAUGAUGAAUCUUGUGUAUGCAUUCUAAUUUCAACAGAAUAACCAACUUUUAUCAUGGAUCUACACUCUGCAAUGAAAUUUGGUAUAUAGUAUAUAUGAUCUUGGUUUGUUAUUUUGAAUACAUAUGAUACUGGAUAUGUCUUCUUUGGGUCUCCAAAUGAUUUGAAAGAUUGGAUGCCAGAAAAUAGAUUGAGCAACCAUUACACAUUAGACUAAUUUAUAUGGCAUGUUACCUGGCCGUUCCCUUUCUUUUCUUUGUACACAAUAGUAUAGUUCUUUAUACCAACUGUAUCAACAUACUCAUUUGCCACUGAAACUUAUAUAUGUUUUCUAUUUCAAAAAUUAAUUGACUAUGAAGCAGGAAGAGAUGUCGAACUAUAGUGCCCUGAUAUAUUCCUUCGUUUCCUGGUAAGUUUACCUACGAUGGUUGUGUGCUAGGUAAUAGGCUAACUCUUUUGUUUGAAUCAUUAUCAUUAACUCAUUAGCUCUACUCCUAAUGUCUGAGUUGGUAGGAUUGCGUCCACGGCUUUUUUCGUCCCACCACUUUCAUCUGGUAUUUUUUCGUCCCCUCCCCCAACCCCACCCCACCUACUCAGCCCAACAAAACCCCCCAAAAAACCACUCCUAUCGAUACCUCGAGGACAUGACGCGAUCGUCGUGCGAUCUCGAGGUCAGAGCACUGCCUCCCCUCGAUCGCCACCUCUGACGUACGAUCUUGCCGCCACCGACCUCACAGAGGAGAUGCUGCCGCAGACGUCCAGGAACACCGCCGCGGACGUCCGGGAUCGCCGCCCCGACCUCCCAGAGGAGAUGACGCCGCCGCCGACCUCCGAGGGGAGACGCCGCCGCCACCUGCGCUAAAUCCUAGGCAUACACCACCGUGCUCCCGCCGUCGGGUUCCACAACCGUUCGCCACCAUGCUAUUGCCUUCCUCCCUCAGGUUCAUCUCCCCUUUUUUCUGUUUGGAUCAAGACGGCGAGAAUCAAAUCUGAGACGGAGAGAAUCGGAUCAGGAUAGAGAGACGGAAUGAGGAUUGAUGCCAUGGGAUCCCUUGCUAAAAUUGAGAGGGAGGGAGGGAGGGAGGGAAAGGGUAUCCUUGUGCAGGGCUGUUUGGACCUCGUUCAGUCCAUUUUAGCAUGAAAAAAGUUGCCACGGGCUAAUGCAACGGCCUGCACGGCACACCACGGCCUGCUACCUAAGGGUUUGCCUCAGUUUUCCGUUUUUUGGGUAAAGCAAAUUUCCCCCAAUAUACAGAUAUGCUAUGACAUAAACAUGUCAAAACCAUCAAGGUUAAAUUUAUAUGCACUGGAAUUUUAUAGAUUUGUUUUAGCAUGUGCAAGUCUAUUAGAUAGUAUUUUGGACAGAGUUAAGGAUAGUCUUUUGUGGCUAACUAUAGUAUUUUGUGGCCUAAGUGUAUAAGUGAAAUGGCCUAAUCUAUGUACUCCGGUGAUUGUUGGAUCUGCAUGGGAUGACAGAUGGGAGGGGGGCAGUUACAAUGUCACUUGCUACUGGAUCUCGGUCCACCGAGCAGCCGCUUCUGAGAAGAGAAAAUGUUCUAUAUUGACAUGCAUGUGAUUAAUAAUGAAUGGUACAUGGUUCCUACACUUAGUUGAUAUUGUGUUUAAAUUUUCUUUACUUGAUCAUGUUACUUGCAGGAAAUUGCCAUAUUUGGACACAGAUUCCUGAUUUCCUCACUUCCUCAAGGCGAAGAGGCGAAGGCUAUUGUCGAUGUGCGAAUGUGGCACCACUACUCUUUACUGUGAUGAGGAGAUUCAGUGAAGGAGAAUCUAAUGAGGAGUCGGAUGUGCAGUCAUCAAAAGCCCCAUGACAAACUCUGUGCCUGUCGCUCCCAUCAACAACAACCAAAUGGUGUAACAUUCCUUAGGUCUUCAUGCAUUUAACCUAUUAUUACUGGACUGGUUUUGGUAAGCCAACUAAGAAACAUUUUGAUCUCAAAAAAUAAUAUUUGUAACUAAGGAGCAAUAUCACGGCAAUCUUUGGUAAGCAAAAGUACUCAGAUUUUUUUGGUAAGCCAACUAAGAAACAUUUUCAUCUACCAAAGAAACUCAGAUUUCUUUAAAGGACAGACCCAGUGCAUAGAAGCUCCCACACAAGGUGGGGUCUGGGGAGGGAUUAUAGGAACCUAGUCUUACCCCUGCAAAGUGCAAUGCAGAGAGGCUGGUUCGAACCCAGGACCUCUUGGCACAAGUGGGGAGGACUUCACCAUUGCGCUAGGCGUGCCCUCAAAGAAACUCAGAUUUCUUUGGUAAAUAAAAACUAAGAAACAUAUUUUUACAAAGAAAACUUUGGUAACCAACAAAUUUAGAUCAAUUGAAGUAUUUAAUCAAUAAUUUUCUACAGUAUGUUUACUGAUAUAGGUGGCACAAUAGAACGAAAUGCUGACCAGGCCAGCUAACUUAAUCAGCCUGGGAUCAACUUCCUAAACCCGACACUCCUUCCUAACACACCAUCCUUCCAUGUUGUCGAUCCUUCGUUCCCCGUCUCUGAUCAUAUCUGAUCUAGGGUUAAUAGUCAUUCUUUUUGUGCUUCUCCCACAAAAGCUUUUUCCUGCAAUAUGCAUCAAUUCGUCUUUUCCAGGAUUCUCAGAGUUCACGUUCGCAAGGAACUCACAAAUCUUGGUGGCUAAAAGGUGCCCAAGCUUAGGCAACAACACUCCGGCCACAACAAUUUCGUCAGCCAUAGGAACCACACCUCCAAAGGCCUGAGCGAGAGUGAGCGUGUGUCGACCAUGCCUGGACCACCACUCUCCACAUAUGUAUACUACGGCUGGCUAGGCUCCAAUAGAGGCUGAGAGACUCCUAAUAUAUGGUCCGUAGUCAUUUCAUUUCGCUACAUUGAUCGAAGCCGCGAGUCAAUCGAAAGGAAAUCCCCCACCGUCGAAGGAAGUCAAUCUCACCUCGAGUCCCGACCCCACCUCUCGUUUUCCCUUCCUAAUCUCCCGAUAAAGAUCCACAUCCCUCCUCCACCGCCAUCUCCAUCCUCUGCACCCCUCGCCUUUGCAAUCCAUCCUCCAUCCAGUUUUCCUUUUGUUUUCUAUCCCAAAAAAUCAGAUCGCAAUCCAUCUUUCCUUUAAUGCACAUCUCUCCUGUAAAAAAUCAGAACACAUGCCCGUCCUUCUCAUUAACAUGCGUUUCUUCUGAAUAUCUGGGAUGCAAUCCUCUCCUUCCCACUAAUCUCUUAUAUAUAUGCCUUUCCUAAAGAUAUCUCGGUCCUGCCCAGCUUGAUCUAAUUCAAUUUAGAUGAAGGAUACUUUCAGGAACAAGACGAUCUACUCAAAGGCUGGCUUGCUCCGCGGCCUCCACCUCGCCCACCUCAUCCCGUAGACAUUGUCGUCCUCCACACGACCACACCAGCUUUCACGAUUUGGGUCUAUGGCAGGCAUAAACUAUGAGAAUUUGACUGGUCGUUUUCAUCGCAGGCGGCUGCGGCGAGGACGUGUGGAAGGCAACAGCUCGGACUUGAUGCCCUUUGCCUCCGUCAAGGACACUGUCAAUGGUGCGUAAUCUCAAACCUCCUUUUGACGUAUUUGUGCUCGUGAAACAAGUAUUCGGCCUGGCCGAUGGCAAAACGCAAAUAUGGCAAAGCUGGCUUGACUUGAGAUGGAUUGAAUCUGGUACAACGUGGCUAGCCAAAAGGUGGCUAGCAAAGCACGCACACACACUGGCAUGUGUAACAUAUUUGUUGUUUGUAAACUCACAAUGAUUACAAUGUGAGCUACAUGCAUUUAUACUAACAUAACAUCAUCUGCCUAAGUAGAGUUAGGAUUUCUAUACUACUUGAACAAUCAAUGAGAUCUAUAGGAAAGCGGAAGAGAGAACUAGCAAGCCGGUGAUUUUACUGUUUUAUCUAGAUUCAUUGUGCUAAAUCAAGUAGUUCUAACCUAGCUGUUACAGGAUUCACCGAUUUAGUCCAUGUUUUGCUUUUCCAGUUUUAGUGAAUGGGGUGGAUUUUGAAAUCUCAUAUUUCAGUUAGUUUUUGGUCGGUCAGCUUGAGUAGUAGGGUCCGUUUGGAUGGAAGCCGUUAACUGAGGACACAUGCAAGCGUUUGGAUGGCUGCCCAAAAUUCUGAUGUAGCCAAUUUUUUGUUUAAUACAUUCAGUUUUUCCACAAACCACGGGGCGAUUCAGCGGAGGCGAAACCUUCUGCUAAAAAGUUGGCACGCCUAGCGUUGGCAGGGCGGUUGCAGGCGCUAUCCAAACAACCCCGUAUUCUCUUUUUUUUUCUCAGUUGGUAUUUCAUAUAGGCCACCUUGCUAUGUUAUAUAAGAUACUCAUAUAGGAGGUCAAGCUUGAAAAAGGUAGAAUUUUCAACAAGUCAAGAAUCAUGUUAACCAGGUUGUCAUGAUAUUUCCGCUGCUUCAAAAUGCUCCAUGAGAUGUUAGGUAACAUGCCUCUGAAUGUUGAUUUCUUUUUACAGAAUUUUGACUGUUUAUGUAGACUUUGGUUCAUUAUGACAACGGCAAAGAUCACUUUGAGGCGCUCGCCAUGGCAGACGGGGAUGGGGUGGCGCCGGGUACACUGUUGAUAACAAAAAUGUUGUGACGGUUCCAAAUGAGAACUGAACUUACUGCACUAAUAUUCAGUUAUAUAUCAAGUCGGCAAAUGUUUGUGUGUUCUGUAAAAUAGCAUGGCAAAUUUUAGUCCAAAUGUUGUCUGUCUUCAGUUAUCUAAAAACUAGCAUGGCCAAUUUGUACAUGAUACAAUUUUUCAGCAUGGCAAAUUAGUUAAUAAAUUGUAAAAAAGGUGGUACCAAAUAAACUUGUAUACGGUUAUGUAGCAUCCUAAUUUUUCGUAUAGCAACUAAGCCAUCAGUAUCCUUUCAAUGGUUAUUUUAUACAUGCGAAAUUUGACAUGUAUUAUCUUUAUAAAUGUCAUCCAACAAAAUUUAAAAGGCCCGUGGCAACGCACGGGCAUUGUACUAGUAUACAUAAAGAAUGA
Long non-coding RNA from Triticum aestivum (bread wheat), 6999 nucleotides. RefSeq lists it as uncharacterized. The transcript is spliced from 5 exons. The record is from RefSeq and is a predicted model, not a curated record. NCBI's taxonomy places the organism in Eukaryota, Viridiplantae, Streptophyta, Magnoliopsida, Poales, Poaceae.